This 400-nucleotide long non-coding RNA is filed under the name Struthio camelus australis. Its description in RNAcentral is "lncRNA (ENSSCUG00000014083.1)". Lineage: Eukaryota; Metazoa; Chordata; Aves; Struthioniformes; Struthionidae. The record is from RNAcentral.
CCUUAGUCCUUUUAACUUCGUGUUUAUAUUCCCCAGCACAGAAGCUUUUAUGUGAAGCCACACAGCUGAGAGACUUGAAGGGGCAGAAAGAAUACGCAGUGCUGCAAGGAAGCUCUACAUGUGAGAGACCCCAGAGAAGGAGAAACUUUCCAUCCCCAUCUGUGGGCUGUGGAGAUCAUGUCGUUUACAUAAACCUUCCUCCCCAAGUAACUCUGGCAAUUACUUAGGAGUUGUUAAAAAUAUCUUCAGAAGAUAAAAUACAAGCAAAGCCCAAACUGAGGAAACACACCAAAUGAGGCUGCAAAGAAGCCUGUAAUGUGAGUCUUGUCACAUCACCGGCUUUCUUGAGUCAACAUACGGUCACAUUUCUGAAGUGAUGGCUGUAUGUAGUGUAAUACCG